CUUGGUCAUUUAGAGGAAGUAAAAGUCGUAACAAGGUCUCCGUUGGUGAACCAGCGGAGGGAUCAUUACAGAGUUAUCUAACUCCCAAACCCAUGUGAACUUACUAUUUGUUGCCUCGGCAGAGCCUACCCUGUAGCCCUCCCUACCCGGGAACCGGUUACCCUGUAGCGUUUCUGUCGGCGGACCACUAAACUCUGUUAUACUAUUGUAAUCUGAGCGUCUUAUUUUAAUAAGUCAAAACUUUCAACAACGGAUCUCUUGGUUCUGGCAUCGAUGAAGAACGCAGCGAAAUGCGAUACGUAAUGUGAAUUGCAGAAUUCAGUGAAUCAUCGAAUCUUUGAACGCACAUUGCGCCCAUUAGUAUUCUAGUGGGCAUGCCUGUUCGAGCGUCAUUUCAACCCUUAAGCCUAGCUUAGUGUUGGGAAUCUAUUCGCAAGAAUAGUUCCCUAAAUCCAACGGCGGAUCUGUGGUAUCCUCUGAGCGUAGUAAAUUCUUAUCUCGCUUUUGUCAGGUGCCGCAGCUCUCAGCCGCUAAACCCCCCAAUUUUUUUCUGGUUGACCUCGGAUCAGGUAGGAAUACCCGCUGAACUUAAGCAUAUCAAUAAGCGGAGGAAAAGAAACCAACAGGGAUUGCCCUAGUAACGGCGAGUGAAGCGGCAACAGCUCAAAUUUGAAAUCUGGCCCUUGGGUCCGAAUUGUAAUUUGUAGAGGAUGAUUUUGGUGCGGUACCUUCCGAGUUCCUUGGAACAGGACGCCUUAGAGGGUGAGAGCCCCGUACGGUUGGAUGCCUAGCCUCUGUAAAUCUCCUUCGACGAGUCGAGUAGUUUGGGAAUGCUGCUCUAAAUGGGAGGUAAAUUUCUUCUAAAGCUAAAUACUGGCCAGAGACCGAUAGCGCACAAGUAGAGUGAUCGAAAGAUGAAAAGCACUUUGAAAAGAGGGUUAAAUAGCACGUGAAAUUGUUGAAAGGGAAGGAUUUAUGACCAGACUUUUUCUGGGCGGAUCAUCCGGUGUUCUCACCGGUGCACUUUGCCCAGUUUAGGCCAGCAUCGAUUUUCGGAGGGGGAUAAAAGCUUUGGGAAUGUGGCUCCUCCGGGAGUGUUAUAGCCCAUUGUAUAAUACCUUUCUGGGGAUCGAGGUACGCGCUUCUGCAAGGAUGCUGGCGUAAUGGUUAUCAAUCACCCGUCUUGAAACACGGACC
This 1197-nucleotide ribosomal RNA is filed under the name uncultured fungus. RNAcentral's name for it is "eukaryotic LSU rRNA". The stretch from base 556 to 1197 matches the Rfam family "Eukaryotic large subunit ribosomal RNA", at positions 1 to 667 of the family's 3401-position model. Lineage: Eukaryota; Fungi. The record is from RNAcentral.